ACUAGUGUGGUAAAAAUAUGUAUACUGAAAAUGGUGGUAAAUCUAGUGUUAAGAAGGAAAUCAUCGAUAAACAUAAUCGUGGUAUGCGUGUAGCAAACAUUGCUAAAUAUUAUAAUAAAUUAACGUCAACGAUUUGUACAAUAUUAAAGUAGAAAGAAGAAAUAAUGGGAUUGGAUACUGCUAAAGGGAUUACAAGAAUAUCGAAACAACGGUCACGAGUUUUGGAAGAUGUUGAAAAAUUGAUUUUACUGUGGAUAAAUGAGAAACAAUUAGCAGGUACUUCGGUAAAAAAGGAAGGUUUCAAGGCCAGCAGAGGAUGGUUCGAUAAUUUUAAAAAACGAAAUGGGAUUUGUACUGUUACGAAACACAGUGAAACUGUGAGUUUCAACUCUAAGGAAAACAAAACGUUCAUUGACGAGUUUCACCACUUACCACAGAAAGUUUUUAACUGCAACCGGACAGGACUUUUUUAGAAAAUGAUGCCUAAAAAGGUUUACUUUGUGGUAGAAGGGAAGACAAUGACUAUGAAAGACUGUAUUACUCUUUUGUUCUGUGCUAAUGCAAGCGGUGAUUUCAAAGUCAAACCCCUGCUAGUUUAUAAUUCUGAGAAUUCAUGAGCUUUCAAAAAAAUGUAAGGUACAGAAAAAUUAAUUAAACGUUAUAUGGAGAUGCAACAGUAAAGCUCGGAUCAGUCGUAUUUUAUUCGUUGAAUGGAUCAAUGAAGUCUUUGGUCCUACCGUGAAAAAAUAUUUAUCAGAAAAUAAUCUGCCACUCAAAGUUUUGUUAAUUAUGAACAAUGCACCUGGUCAUCGUCGUUUAGAUCUAAAGAACUAUUCACGAUUGUGAAUUGUCUCGAUAUCAUCGAUAAAGCCUGGAAUGGGGUCAUUAAGGGAAUCCUUAAUUCUGUUUGGAAAAAAUUGUGGUUCACUUGCGUUAUUGAAAAUAAUUUUGUUUAUGAACAGGAUUUGCCAGUUGUAGAUGAAAUUGUGUCUUUAGGAAAAACCAUGGGAUUGGAAGUAAAUGAGGAUGAUAUUCAAGAAUUGGUGAAAGAACAUGAACAGAAAUUGACCACAGACGAAUUGAUGGAUCUGCAACGUGAACAA
Long non-coding RNA from Polistes dominula (European paper wasp), 1103 nucleotides. Lineage: Eukaryota; Metazoa; Arthropoda; Insecta; Hymenoptera; Vespidae. The record is from RefSeq and is a predicted model, not a curated record.